RNAcentral lists this ribosomal RNA (468 nucleotides) under uncultured bacterium. Its description in RNAcentral is "partial 16S ribosomal RNA". It matches the Rfam family "Bacterial small subunit ribosomal RNA", at positions 28 to 507 of the family's 1533-position model. The record is from RNAcentral.
GACGAACGCUGGCGGCGUGCUUAACACAUGCAAGUCGAACGGAAAGGCCCUGCUUUUGUGGGGUGCUCGAGUGGCGAACGGGUGAGUAACACGUGAGUAACCUGCCCUUGACUUUGGGAUAACUUCAGGAAACUGGGGCUAAUACCGGAUAGGAGCUCCUGCUGCAUGGUGGGGGUUGGAAAGUUUCGGCGGUUGGGGAUGGACUCGCGGCUUAUCAGCUUGUUGGUGGGGUAGGGGCUUACCAAGGCUUUGACGGGUAGCCGGCCUGAGAGGGGGACCGGCCAGAUUGGGAGUGAGAGACGGGCGAGACUCGUACGGGAGGCAGCAGUGGGGAAGAGUGCACAAGGGGCGGAAGCCUGAUGCAGCAACGCCGCGGGCGGGAUGACGGCCUUCGGGUUGUAAACCGCGUGCGCCUGUGAAGAAGCGGGAGUGAGGGUAAUGGGUAAAGAAGCACCGGCGAACUAGGUG